Molecule: RNA transcript, 3119 nt
Organism: Piliocolobus tephrosceles (Ugandan red Colobus)
Lineage: Eukaryota; Metazoa; Chordata; Mammalia; Primates; Cercopithecidae
Gene name: protein DEK-like
Exons: 3
Source: RefSeq, a predicted model, not a curated record
GGUGGUGCUGUUGCGCUUUUAAGCUGCUGCUUCACAGGAGCCGCGCCUCCGGUCGGUGGAGUCAGUUACAAGGGGAGCAGCCGCCCAGGGGCCGCCCCACAGCUCCCCGCAGAGGCCUCGGUGUCCCUUGCUGUUUUCCUGCCGCGCUCCGACUAGAGUCAAGGCAGCGGGAAGAGGCGGAGCCGCGAGAGCGCCGCCGAGCGGCCCCACCGGGUGGUCGCGGCCAUAACAGCGGCUCCUCACCGGCUCACCUUCCGCGCCCCCGCCGCCGGAGGUGAGGGAGAAACUAACAAUGAAAACGGACCCGUUGAGGGAGGAAAAGUUGGAAUGCAGCCUCUGGUGCUGUUUGAGCGAUCCCUCUCUCCCCGGUCGGGCCGCUGCUGUGUUCUGGAAAGGCGCAUUUUACGGUGGAUGUGGCAGUAUCAACCGGGAUCCGUGGUUCACAUCAUGUCCACCUCGGCCCCUGCUGCGGAGGGAGAGAGAACCCUCGCCCAGCCCGCGACGGAGAAAGAACCCGAAAUGCCCGGUCCCAGUGAGGAGAGCCAGAAGGAAGAGGACUAGGACGACGACUAGGACGAGGACGAUGGGGAGGAGGAAAAAGAAAAGAGUCGCAUUGUGGAAGGCAAGAGGGGGAAGAAAAAAGUAGAGAGGUUGACAAUGCAAGUCCCUUCCUUACAGAGAGCCAUUUACAAUUGCACAAGGAAAGGGGCAGAAACUUUGUGAAAUUGAGAGGAUACAUUUUUUUCUAAGUAAGAAGAAAACCGAUGAACUUAGAAAUCUACACAAACUGCUUUACAACAGGCCAGGCACUGUGUCCUCAUUAAAGAAGAAUGUGGGUCAGUUCAGUGGCUUUCCGUUUGAAAAAGGAAGUGUCCAAUAUAAAAUGAAGGAAGAAAUGUUGAAAAAAUUUAGAAACGCCAUGUUAAAGAGCAUCUGUAAGGUUCUUGAUUUGGAGACAUCAGGUGUAAAUAGUGAACUAGUGAAGAGGAUCUUGAAUUUCUUAAUGUAUCCAAAGCCUUCUGGCAAACCAUUGCCAAAAUCUUCAACAACUUCUAGCAAAGGCAGUAAAAGGGAAAGGAAGAGUUCUGGAAUGGCAAGGAAGGCUAAGCGAAUCAAAUGUCCUGGAAUUCUGUCAGAUGAAUCUAGUAGUGAUGAAGAUGAAAAGAAAAACAAAGAAGAGUCUUCAGAUGAUGAAGAUAAGAAAAGUGAAGGGGAGCCACCAAAAAAGACAGCCAAAAGAGAAAAACCUAAACAGAAAACUACUUCUAAAAGUAAAAAAUCUGUGAAAAGUGCCAAUGUUAAAAGCAGAUAGCAGCACCACCAAGAAGAAUCAAAACAGUUCCAAAAAAGAAAGUGAGUCUGAGGAUAGUUCAGAUGAGGAAACUUUAAUUGAAAAGUUGAAGAAACCCCCUACAGAUGAAGAGUUAAAGGAAACAAUAAAGAAAUUGCUGGCCAGUGCUAACUUGGAAGCCAAGUUACAAUGAAACAGGUUUGCAAAAAGGUCUAUGAAAAUUAUCCUACUUAUGAUUAAACUGAAAGGAAAGAUUUCAUAAAAACAACUGUAAAAGAGCUAAUUUCUUGAGAUAGAGGACAGAGAAGAUGACUCAUUCCCAUAGAUUUGAAGAUCUGAUUUAUACUAUUAUACCAGCAAAGAGAAUGUAUUUCCUUUUCUAAUCCUUGUUAAGCAACGUUAGAACUUAUUGCGACCUUUUUAUCUUGAAUGUUAUGUGAAUUUGAGUUUGCUAUUUUAAAUUGCAUUUCUAUGCCACUUUUAGUUUAAAAUCUUGCAUGGCAUUAAUUGUUCCUUGCUUUUAUAGUUGUAUUUUGUACAUUUUGGGUUUCUUUAUAUAACGUCAUAGAUUCUUGAACUGUUGUGGCUUUUAGUGCACUUAAUAUUAGCUAGCUUAAGACAUACUUUUAAUCAAGUAGAACAAAAACUAUUAUGACUGGGAUUUAUACACACAGAGAUUGCAGUAUUUAGUAUAUGAAAUAUUUUGAAUAUACAUCUCUGUCAGUAUGAAAAUUCAGCAGCAGCGUGUCCAUCAUAUUAAAAAUAUACAAGCUACAGUUGUCCAGUUGACUGAAUUGGAACUUUUCUCCUGCGUGUGUAUAUAUGUCAGAUUGUCAGCAUGACAAAAGUGACAGAUGUUAUUUUUGUAUUUUUAAAAAACAGUUUGUUGUAUAUAAAGUUUUUUAUUUCUUUUGUGCAGACCACUUUUUAAACUCACAUAGGUGGGUGUCUUUACAGUUGUAGACUAUGGAAUGUCAGCGUUCAGCCAGACAGUAUGAUGGAGCAGUGAAAGUCAAUUCAGUGAUGGAACACUGAAGGAACAGACAGUUAUCCUGCUUUGCCUCAAAAGUGUCAUCAAUUUGUAAUUUUACUAUUAACUCUGCAAAAGUGUCUGUAGGUAUGUUUUAUAUUAAGGAAAGACCAAAUAUCAACAUAUCAAAGCUUCAAAAACUUUGGGAAAGAGUGUGAUUAAGUACAAGCUCAUUUGGUUUAUAAUAAAAGAACCUGUUUUUAUUAACUGCUUUUGCCUAUAUAAAAUGCUGAUAUUUACCGGAAACCUAGCCACCUUCAUGAUUACGAUUAAAGUACCAGAUUAUAAUGCCAGAAUAUAAUGUGCAGGCAAUCGUGGAUAUCUCUGACAAGAUGUGUCUCAAAAAUAAUAUACUUUUAUGUUAAAGAAAUUUAAUGUUUCUCUGGAAUUGGGGCUCUUGGCUUUUAAAGUUUGGCUAAUCAGUGUUGAUUCUAGAUGAUCAACAUAAUGGACCACUCCUGAAUGAGACUGAUUUUGUCUUUCAAAUUUACUGUCUUAAAUCAGUUUAUUAAAUCUGAAUUUUAAAACAUGCUGCUUAUGACAGAAUGACACAUUUGAUGUGCCAAUUAAGUGUUGAAAACUAUGUUUGCGUCAUAGAACAGAAAUAUAUAAAAAUAUAUGUUGAAUGUUAACAGGUAUUUUCACAGAUUUGACUUGUUUCUUGAUAGUUACUCAGACACUAGGGAAAGGUAAAUAGAAGUGAACAAAAUAAGCAACUAAAUGAGACCUAAUAAUUGGCCUUUGAUUUUAAAUAUUUAAUUUGUUCUUAUAAACUGUGUCAACAAAAAUAAAUCUAAA